GGUUGACAAGGGAACAGACAUUCCCUGAAGCACCCAACCCGGGCUGAGGACUGAGGCGGGCGUGGGUGGAAUAGCCAGGUGCGGAGUCUCGUUCUGGAACAUCCGUGGGCCCUACAGUCUACGGGCAGGCCAGGGACUCUCCCGCCGGAGCGUCCUCGGUUCCCCAGAGAAGGAGUCUCAGCUUAACAGUUACAGACGCAAAUGUUCCCCGGUGGCCUUAUUACAAGGGGCCUCCCUUCUCUCUUCAUCUCUGUGCAACAAGAUCAGGGGUUGCUGAGGGCUCCAAACAGUGGCAGGAAACACCCCUGGUGAAUGUAGGGAAACCUGUCCUGGUCCCGCGCCCGAUGCCACCAUGAACAGCUGCCUGCACACCUCCAGCAACGUCACCCUCCUGACGUCCUCGGUCUCCAGUGUGACCGGGAUAGUUUUCCUCCUCCUGGCCGCUCUGAUCGGGCUGCCGGGCAACCUCUUCGUGGUGUGGAGCAUCCUGUGGAAGAUGAAGCCCAGCUGCCGUUCGGUCACCUGCCUGCUGGUCCUCAACCUGGCCAUGGCCGAUGGGGCCGUCCUCCUGCUCACGCCCUUCUUCAUCCUCUUCCUCACUUUCAAGACCUGGCUCUUUGGCCCCAUCGUCUGCAAAGGCGUCUACUACCUCUGCUGUGUCAACAUGUAUGCCAGCAUCUUCAUCAUCACGCUCAUGAGCGUGGACCGGUGCUUGGCCGUCAGCCGGCCCUACCUCUCCCAAGCCAUCCGCAAGAAGCGCCUGGUGGUCAAGAUCUUGGCCGCCAUCUGGGCAGUGGCCAUCUUGUUGGCCGUCCCGGCCUUCGUGUAUCGCCAGCUCCUGUCAGACCCGUCCGGGCGGUGGCAGAUCUGCGAGCCGUGCCACGCCACACCGGGCCUGGCUGUCUUCCACUUCACCAUGGAGACGGUGGUGGCCUUUGUGGUGCCCUUUGCAGUCAUUGUGGGCUGCUACUCCGCCAUCUUGGUGCGGCUGCGGGGGCGGCGGUGGCACCGCCGGGGAGCACGGACGGGGAAGCUCAUCGCCGCCGUGGUGCUUUGCUUCGCCGCCCUCUGGGUGCCUUACCAUGUGGUCAACGUGCUGCAGGUGGCCUCCAACAUGGCCUCGGAGAGGGCGGCGGAGAGCCUGGGCCACGCGUGGAAGGCUGGCCGGGCGGGGGCCACCGCCCUGGCCUUCCUCAGCAGCAGCAUUAACCCCGUCCUCUAUGUCUUCGCCGCCGGGGAUCUGAUCAAGACCUCAGGGGCCAAGUUCAUUGCCCAGUUCUUCGAGGGGGCCUCCGGGGAGGUGCACAAGAAGUCGCCCUCCCAGAGGGACCUAGACAAGGACACAGUGGCAGGAGAGGGCGUGGAGCUAAGGCAGCUUCAGGCAGGUGGGGAGGGGGCCAAGCAGGACGGGGCCAUGCACCAGCUGACACCCCCUGGACAGGGUCCAUACCAAGCUGCAUCCCCUUAGCCCUCACUGAUGCAGUACCACUGCCCUUGUGGGUGCUUUCCCUUUAAGGGUGGAGUUUCUCUCUGCCAGACAUGGUUUCUCAUGGAUACUUGCUCUUUAAGAGCAGCGUUUUACUGUCAGACUCACGCUCAUGGACACUUUCUCUUUAAGAGCAGGUCCUCAUGGACACCUCCCCUUUAAUUUGCUCUUAAAGAAGAGUUUCUCACUGCCAAACAUUUCUCACUGCCAGAUUCUGGGCCUUGUGGAUUCUUCCCCUUUAAGAGCAGAGUUUCUCACUGCCAGACUUUGGUCCUCCUGGACACUACCCCUUGAAUUUGCUCUUAAAGAGGAAUUUUUCAUUGCCAAACAUUUCUCUCUGCCAGAUUCUGGUCCUCAUAGGUGUUUCCCCUUUAAUUUGCUCUUAAAGGGGAAUUUCUUACUGCCAAACACUGCUGCCUUACCUUCUUGUGCCCCUCCUAUGUCACGGGACACGCCCUUCACAGGUGCAGUUUAUCCCUGCCAGACUCCAUCCAGCAUGGAGACUUGCCCUUUAAGGGUGGAAUUUCUCACUGCCAGACUUUGAUCCUCAGGGAAACGUCCCCCUUAAGGAUACCAUUUCUCACUGCCAGAGUCCAAAUUUCAGGGUCACUUCCCCUUCAAAGGGCAUUUAAAGGGGAAGGUCUUCAUGCUGGACUCCCAUUCCCAUGCUGUAUUAAUGGGAGCACACUGCUGCCCCCUUGUGGGCAUUUCGAUUCCAGGUCCUAGACUAGAAAGACAGGAACUGCCCUGCUCCCAGGGCCCACGCCGCUGGCCCUUGCCCCAUGGACUCAUGCGGUUACCAGCUGUAGGUGCCGUGAAUACAGAGCAGCACCCGUUCUGCCCAAUAACCGCCUCAUCCCACUGGCAGUGCAGAAGACAGGCCAGGCCAGCUCCUCACCUGAUGUAAUACAAAGGUCACCUCCCCCGGGCCACCCAGGUCUCAGCGGGGCGGAUCUGCCUGUGGGUUACCCAACACUGCUGAAGCUUCCGCUGGAUGCUUGUACCCGCUGACUCAGCCC
RNA transcript from Mauremys mutica (yellowpond turtle), 2505 nucleotides. It is a transcript of the gene named leukotriene B4 receptor 2, with no coding region annotated. The transcript is spliced from 3 exons. NCBI's taxonomy places the organism in Eukaryota, Metazoa, Chordata, Testudines, Geoemydidae. The record is from RefSeq and is a predicted model, not a curated record.